This 500-nucleotide ribosomal RNA is filed under the name uncultured bacterium. Its description in RNAcentral is "partial 16S ribosomal RNA". It matches the Rfam family "Bacterial small subunit ribosomal RNA", at positions 30 to 523 of the family's 1533-position model. The record is from RNAcentral.
AUUGAACGCUGGCGGAAUGCUUUACACAUGCAAGUCGAACGGCAGCACGGACUUCGGUCUGGUGGCGAGUGGCGAACGGGUGAGUAAUGUAUCGGAACGUGCCCAGUCGUGGGGGAUAACGUAGUGAAAAUUACGCUAAUACCGCAUACGAUCUAUGGAUGAAAGCGGGGGAUCGCAAGACCUCGCGCGAUUGGAGCGGCCGAUAUCAGAUUAGGUAGUUGGUGAGGUAAAGGCCCACCAAGCCAACGAUCUGUAGCUGGUCUGAGAGGACGACCAGCCACACUGGACCUGAGACACGGUCCAGACUCCUACGGGAGGCAGCAGUGGGGAAUUUUGGACAAUGGGCGAAAGCCUGAUCCAGCCAUUUCGCGUGCAGGAUGAAGGCCCUCGGGUUGUAAACUGCUUUUGUACAGAACGAAAAGGUUUCUACUAAUACUAGGAGCUCAUGACGGUACUGUAAGAAUAAGCACCGGCUAACUACGUGCCAGCCGCCGCAGUAA